CUACGGGAGGCAGCAGCAGGGAAUAUUGUGCAAUGAACGAAAGUUUGACACAGCGACACCGCGUGUGGGAUGACGGAUCUAGGUUUGUAAACCACUUUCAGGAGGGAAGAAAAUGACGGUACCUCCACAAGAAGCCCCGGCCAACUACGUGCCAGCAGCCGCGGUAAUACGUAGGGGGCGAGCGUUGUCCGGAUUUAUUGGGCGUAAAGAGCUCGUAGGCGGUUCAACAAGUCGGUCGUGAAAGUUCAGGGCUCAACCCUGAAAUGUCGAUCGAUACUGUUGUGACUAAGAUACGGUAGAGGUGAGUGGAAUUCCGAGUGUAGCGGUGAAAUGCGUAGAUAUUCGGAGGAACACCAAUAGCGAAGGCAGCUCACUGGGCCGCUAUCGACGCUGAGGAGCGAAAGCUAGGGGAGCAAACAGGAUUAGAUACCCUGGUAGUCCUAGCUGUAAACGAUGGAUACUAGACGUAGGAACUGGAUUGACGGUUUCUGUGUCGCAGCUAACGCGUUAAGUAUCCCGCCUGGGGAGUACGGUCGCAAGACUAAAACUCAAAG
Molecule: ribosomal RNA, 554 nt
Filed under: uncultured bacterium
Lineage: Bacteria
Description: bacterial SSU rRNA
Rfam family: Bacterial small subunit ribosomal RNA
Source: RNAcentral